Long non-coding RNA from Hibiscus syriacus, 243 nucleotides. RefSeq lists it as uncharacterized. NCBI's taxonomy places the organism in Eukaryota, Viridiplantae, Streptophyta, Magnoliopsida, Malvales, Malvaceae. The record is from RefSeq and is a predicted model, not a curated record. The transcript is spliced from 3 exons.
GGCAUUAUUUCUCUGGUUAAACAAAUACUAUCUACUUAUUGCUAAUCUUUAUCCUAAUAUCUUUUCUCUGUCUUCAUUUAUGGUGGCCUUGGUGCCAUUGAGAUUUUCAAGAAAAUGAAUAUUGAGGAUCUGCAGAUAGGGGAUUAUCUUGCAAUUGGGGCAAUCUUUUCUGCCACAGAUUCUGUUUGCACUUUGCAAGUUCUUAAUCAAGAUGAAACACCUCAGUCUGGUUUUCGGGGAGGG